GAACAUUGAGUUGGGAAUUUCUCUAUCCACAGUGUGAUGGUCUCAUCUGGGAAUUAGAGAAGGACAACUUACAGAAAAAGAGCCUGAACCUAACAAAUGAGGAGAAGCAGAGGAGAGGAGCCACAGGAGAUGAAUGGAGACAGGAUUGCAAGGCUGGAUUUGCUGCUACUCAACCUUAUCCUUGUCAGUGUGGAAAAUGGCCUUGGAACUCACAUAGCAACUAGAUUGAAGGAAACUGUGCUUCUAAAUGACUUACAGGAGUGGAGCCACCCCUCCAUUUUGGAAUGCCCACCUCAAAAUGGUUAUGUGAAGACAAACAAAUCUUGGUCUAAAAUAAACACCCCACCCCUUGAAUGUUUUAGUAUGGCAGAUCUUUCAAUCAUAUACUAUACAAUUAAUUAAGAAUUAUUGACUUCAUUUUACAAGUUAGGAAAAGAAAGAUUUGUGGGGGUAAAUCACUAACAGUAGGGUUUUUCCAGACUCCUACUUGCUCCGCUACAGAAACAUAGGGAACCCUCUAGAAGGGGGGGAGGCAGAACAAAAUAGAGUGCACCUAGGACUAGAGAAUACUCAGCUACUACAUGAUCUAAGUCUCUUGAAUAUCUCCAUUUCUGGAUCCCAAAGGAGCAUCUUUUUGUCUAGCAGUUCUCCUCAAAGUUAGUUUUCCCAGAACAACCUGUUCUCAGUGUAAGAAAUUCAAAAAGAGCCAUGAGGUUAUAUGUUACAUGGCAUUCCCCAGCUUAU
Ictidomys tridecemlineatus (thirteen-lined ground squirrel) is the source of this 744-nucleotide long non-coding RNA. RefSeq lists it as uncharacterized. Lineage: Eukaryota; Metazoa; Chordata; Mammalia; Rodentia; Sciuridae. The record is from RefSeq and is a predicted model, not a curated record.